RNAcentral lists this ribosomal RNA (231 nucleotides) under uncultured Lactobacillus sp. RNAcentral describes it as "partial 16S ribosomal RNA". It matches the Rfam family "Bacterial small subunit ribosomal RNA", at positions 132 to 355 of the family's 1533-position model. The record is from RNAcentral. Lineage: Bacteria; Bacillati; Bacillota; Bacilli; Lactobacillales; Lactobacillaceae.
ACUAGUCUGGGAUACCACUUGGAAACAGGUGCUAAUACCGGAUAAGAAAGCGGAUCGCAUGAUCAGCUUUUAAAAGGCGGCGUAAGCUGUCGCUAUGGGAUGGCCCCGCGGUGCAUUAGCUAGUUGGUAAGGUAAAGGCUUACCAAGGCGAUGAUGCAUAGCCGAGUUGAGAGACUGAUCGGCCACAUUGGGACUGAGACACGGCCCAAACUCCUACGGGAGGCAGCAGCU